AACGAACGCUGGCGGCAGGCCUAACGCAUGCAAGUCGAGCGAGGACUUCGGUCCUAGCGGCGGACGGGUGAGUAACGCGUGGGAACGUGCCCUUUGCUUCGGAAUAGCCCUGGGAAACUGGGAGUAAUACCGGAUGAGCCCUUUGGGGGAAAGAUUUAUCGGCGAAGGAUCGGCCCGCGUUGGAUUAGGUAGUUGGUGGGGUAAUGGCCUACCAAGCCGACGAUCCAUAGCUGGUUUGAGAGGAUGAUCAGCCACACUGGGACUGAGACACGGCCCAGACUCCUACGGGAGGCAGCAGUGGGGAAUCUUAGACAAUGGGGGAAACCCUGAUCUAGCCAUGCCGCGUGAGCGAUGAAGGCCUUAGGGUUGUAAAGCUCUUUCAGCUGGGAAGAUAAUGACGGUACCAGCAGAAGAAGCCCCGGCUAACUCCGU
This 432-nucleotide ribosomal RNA is filed under the name uncultured bacterium. RNAcentral's name for it is "partial 16S ribosomal RNA". It matches the Rfam family "Bacterial small subunit ribosomal RNA", at positions 29 to 506 of the family's 1533-position model. The record is from RNAcentral.